UGGGGCAGGUCUCCUGGAGCUGGGGAGUCUUCUCCCGCGCGGCCCGGUCACCGAGCUACCGAGUGGACGCCCGCCUCCUGGCUCUUUCCAAGGGGCGGUGCAGGCUCCUUCACAGCACGGGGGCCAGGUUCUAGGAGCCAGGGUCCCCAAGACACAGGGAGUGGACACUGCUCAUUAAGACUGCGUCUUAAGGUCUGGACGCAGAAACGGAAUAGAAGUCGGCCACAGUCUCCUGCCAGAGCUCCUGCUGGACCCGUGAACAUGGCGUCUGUCUGCUGAACGAACGGAUCGGCUGCCGCGCCAGCUGCCCACGCAGAUGCCGCAGCGGCAGUCAGUCACUGACGCCUGGAAGGUUCCAGGCACCUCAGCCACAUCAACUGGCGAGGGGAUGGAGGCCCUGAGAAAAUGAAGCUUAAUGUCUUACAGCAUUUUAGACAGGGGAGGGAUUUAUGAGAUAAUCAACUUCUAAGCCUAAUUUCACAAAAAGUUAACCCGUAAAGCAAGCAGACAAAAGUGCUGAGGUGUAUAGAUAACAGAAUACAGCAAGGAACCUAUGUGGGUCGGUUACACAGAAACAGCGAUGAGUCAGAACCUGCUCUAUGUGGCAAGUUAUACUAUUUACUUGCUCAGCCUCUUUUAGCGAGUCGGAGCUAACUAAACCCUGGGACCUGAAUGAUGGGCACUGUUCAUUUUCCCGCUUGUAAAGGGGGACGCUAUUCACUUCUGCAGACGGGGCCCCACGUGCGGCCAUCGCGGCGAUGGGGUGAUCUGAGGCUGCACUGCACGCCCCGGGAAAACAUCCUGUGGCAGGCUGAUGACUCACACGCUGCGCAGUGACACGCACCGGCCAUUCAGAGGGACGGGGAAGCAUGCACAAGGCCUUCGUUAGCAGGCAUCUUUAAACACGGCUGAGGCCCAGCUGGGAACAGCAGAGGCAGCCGAGUUUGACUCGUUCGAGGUGAUGAUUAAAGCCGAAGAAAAUGAAGUAACUGGACAUCAGUUAGGGUCGAGUAAAAGCCUAAUUCUAAAAGGUGAAUUUUUACUAAAUUAAAAAAAAAAAGAAUUAGUUUGCUAAUUCGCAGAGAGAUACCUAAUUAUAGCUUCAGAAACACAUACUUUGAACCUGAAAAUAUUCCAUCUCUCCUUAGGUUUUCUGAGGAGCUUCCGAAACACUAGAUAAUCUUAUAGGAGAAAUUAUGACCCUGACUACAAAAAAUAAAAAUAAAAAAAUCUGUGAAAACUGACAAUUAACUGAACACACGGUAGCCUUUUACCAAAAAAAUAAAAUCAGUUUCCCCAAGAGAAUGAA
Long non-coding RNA from Phyllostomus hastatus (greater spear-nosed bat), 1309 nucleotides. RefSeq lists it as uncharacterized. Lineage: Eukaryota; Metazoa; Chordata; Mammalia; Chiroptera; Phyllostomidae. The record is from RefSeq and is a predicted model, not a curated record. The transcript is spliced from 2 exons.